GAUCCUGGCUCAGGAUGAACGCUAGCUACAGGCUUAACAUAUGCAAGUCGAGGGGCAGCAUGGUCUUAGCUUGCUAAGGCCGAUGGCGACCGGCGCACGGGUGAGUAACACGUAUCCAACCUGCCGUCUACGUCUUGGACAGCCUUCUGAAAGGAAGAUUAAUACAAGAUGGCAUCAUGAGUCCGCAUGUUCACAUGAUUUAAAGGUAUUUCCGGUAGA
This 219-nucleotide ribosomal RNA is filed under the name uncultured bacterium. Its description in RNAcentral is "partial 16S ribosomal RNA". It matches the Rfam family "Bacterial small subunit ribosomal RNA", at positions 15 to 222 of the family's 1533-position model. The record is from RNAcentral.